AUGAACGCUGGCGGCGUGCCUCAUACAUGCAAGUCGAGCGAACGGACGAGAAGCUUGCUUUUCUGAUGUUAGCGGCGGACGGGUGAGUAACACGUGGAUAACCUACCUAUAAGACUGGGAUAACUUCGGGAAACCGGAGCUAAUACCGGAUAAUAUUUUGAACCGCAUGGUUCAUAAGUGAAAGACGGUCUUGCUGUCACUUAUAGAUGGAUCCGCGCUGCAUUAGCUAGUUGGUAAGGUAACGGCUUACCAAGGCAACGAUGCAUAGCCGACCUGAGAGGGUGAUCGGCCACACUGGAACUGAGACACGGUCCAGACUCCUACGGGAGGCAGCAGUAGGGAAUCUUCCGCAAUGGGCGAAAGCCUGACGGAGCAACGCCGCGUGAGUGAUGAAGGUCUUCGGAUCGUAAAACUCUGUUAUUAGGGAAGAACAUAUGUGUAAGUAACUGUGCACAUCUUGACGGUACCUAAUCAGAAAGCCACGGCUAACUACGUG
This 496-nucleotide ribosomal RNA is filed under the name uncultured bacterium. Its description in RNAcentral is "partial 16S ribosomal RNA". It matches the Rfam family "Bacterial small subunit ribosomal RNA", at positions 29 to 507 of the family's 1533-position model. The record is from RNAcentral.